UUUGAUGGGUUUUCUCAGGAUGAACGCUGGCGGGGCCGCGGGAAUUCGAUUAGAGUUUGAUCCUGGCUCAGGAACGCUGGCGAGAAGCUUGCUUCUAUGACGUUAGCGGCGGACGGGUGAGUAACACGUGGGCAACCUGCCUGUAAGACUGGGAUAACUUCGGGAAACCGAAGCUAAUACCGGAUAGGAUCUUCUCCUUCAUGGGAGAUGAUUGAAAGAUGGUUUCGGCUAUCACUUACAGAUGGGCCCGCGGUGCAUUAGCUAGUUGGUGAGGUAACGGCUCACCAAGGCAACGAUGCAUAGCCGACCUGAGAGGGUGAUCGGCCACACUGGGACUGAGACACGGCCCAGACUCCUACGGGAGGCAGCAGUAGGGAAUCUUCCGCAAUGGACGAAAGUCUGACGGAGCAACGCCGCGUGAGUGAUGAAGGCUUUCGGGUCGUAAAACUCUGUUGUUAGGGAAGAACAAGUACAAGAGUAACUGCUUGUACCUUGACGGUACCUUUCCAGAAAGCCACGGCUAACUAGGUGCCAGCAGCCGCCCUAAUACGUAGGUGGCAAGCGUUAUCCGGAAUUAUUGGGCGUAAAGCGCGCGCAGGCGGUUUCUUAAGUCUGAUGUGAAAGCCCACGGCUCAACCGUGGAGGGUCAUUGGAAACUGGGGAACUUGAGUGCAGAAGAGUUUAGCGGAAUUCCACGUGUAGCGGUGAAAUGCGUAGAGAUGUGGAGGAACACCAGUGGCGAAGGCGGCUAAUUGGUCUGUAACUGACGCUGAGGCGCGAAAGCGUGGCCAGCAAACAGGAUUAGAUACCCUGGUAGUCCACGCCGUAAACGAUGAGUGCUAAGUGUUAGAGGGUUUCCGCCCUUUAGUGCUGCAGCUAACGCAUUAAGCACUCCGCCUGGGGAGUGCGGUCGCAAGACUGAAACUCAAAGGAAUUGACGGGGGCCCGCACAAGCGGUGGAGCAUGUGGUUAAAUUCGAAGCAACGCGAAGUUCCUUACCAGGUCUUGACAUCCUCUGACAACUCUAGAGAUAGAGCGUUCCCCUUCGGGGGACAGAGUGACAGGUGGUGCAUGGUUGUCGUCAGCUCGUGUCGUGAGAUGUUGGGUUAAGUCCCGCAACGAGCGCAACCCUUGAUCUUAGUUGCCAGCAUUUAGUUGGGCACUCUAAGGUGACUGCCGGUGACAAACCGGAGGAAGGUGGGGAUGACGUCAAAUCAUCAUGCCCCUUAUCACCUGGGCUACACACGUGCUACAAUGGAUGGUACAAAGGGCUGCAAGACCGCGAGGUCAAGCCAAUCCCAUAAAACCAUUCUCAGUUCGGAUUGUAGGCUGCAACUCGCCUACAUGAAGCUGGAAUCGCUAGUAAUCGCGGAUCAGCAUGCCGCGGUGAAUACGUUCCGGGGCCUUGUACACACCGCCCGUCACACCACGAGAGUUUGUAACACCCGAAGUCGGUGGAGUAACCGUAAGGAGCUAGCCGCCUAAGGUGGGACAGAUGUUUGCCAUGAAGUCGUACUUAGGUAAACACAAGG
Molecule: ribosomal RNA, 1532 nt
Filed under: uncultured Bacillus sp.
Lineage: Bacteria; Bacillati; Bacillota; Bacilli; Caryophanales; Bacillaceae
Description: bacterial SSU rRNA
Rfam family: Bacterial small subunit ribosomal RNA
Source: RNAcentral